RNAcentral lists this ribosomal RNA (460 nucleotides) under uncultured bacterium. RNAcentral describes it as "partial 16S ribosomal RNA". It matches the Rfam family "Bacterial small subunit ribosomal RNA", at positions 338 to 795 of the family's 1533-position model. The record is from RNAcentral.
CCUACGGGAGGCAGCAGUGAGGAAUAUUGGUCAAUGGACGAGAGUCUGAACCAGCCAAGUAGCGUGAAGGAUGACUGCCCUAUGGGUUGUAAACUUCUUUUAUAAAGGAAUAAAACGAGGCACGUGUGCCUUUUUGCAUGUACUUUAUGAAUAAGGAUCGGCUAAAUCCGUGCCAGCAGCCGCGGUAAUACGGCGGAUCCGAGCGUUAUCCGGAUUUAUUGGGUUUAAAGGGAGCGUAGAUGGGUUGUUAAGUCAGUUGUGAAAGUUUGCGGCUCAACCGUAAAAGUGCAAUUGAUACUGGCAGUCGUGAGUACAGUUGAGGUAGGCGGAAUUCGUGGUGUAGCGGUGAAAUGCUUAGAUAUCACGAAGAACCCCGAUUGCGAAGGCAGCUUACUAAACUGUGACUGACAUUGAUGCUCGAAAGUGUGGGUAUCAAACAGGAUUAGAUACCCUUGUAGUC